This is a non-coding RNA of Heterocephalus glaber (naked mole-rat), 1923 nucleotides long. The record is from RefSeq and is a predicted model, not a curated record. Lineage: Eukaryota; Metazoa; Chordata; Mammalia; Rodentia; Bathyergidae.
GCGAACGGGUGUGCGUUUCCGUGAGUGGCUGCACAGUUCAGGGCGACCGGUGAGAAGCAGCUCUCUCGAGGCCUGUUCCCGCAUGCUGCGGGGCCGGUGGCCCUCCCCAAGGUCCCUGUGCCGGGGUCCCCAAGCGCGGACGGCGCCCUGUGCGCGGCCGCGGUGGAGCUGAGGCGCGGAGGCCCAGGGCGCUAAAGGCAAAACACUGAUUUAGGCCUCGACUCCGCCGUUUUUGGGAAAGGGAAAAAGAGACAGGUAUCGAAAGGAGAUCGUUUCAGUGUCGGCUUUCCUGCAAGCACGGUUCUCAUUUCUGCAGACAAUGGAACACUCACUGCCGGCUGUGCAAAAUCGAGGGCCCGUUCUGAGAUUUGCGGUGUGUGUAUGAGACUGGGAAGACUGAAAAUAUGAAGCAGCAAGGAUAAAGGAGAAGACAAUAAUAAUUAUCCAAGUGUGCAUGCUGCUGGAGAGUUUGAGAGUGAAGCAUGGUGGCUGAACAGCAGGGCGGAAUGAAGGACCAGUGACAAGCUGGGACAAGCUGAGUUUCAAAAAGAAUUUGGAGACAGAGCUGCAACUUGGAUCCACACGACAGAGGCACAGGGGAGCAUAAAGGCCAUUGUCCUGAGCUGUAGAAGUGAACAACAGAGAGAGGGCCUCUCUCAGGCUCCCUGAUGGAAACUGAAGAAAAGUGAAGAGAUUCUCUUCAAUAAAGGCACACCAGACCACUGUGCUUGCAGGGUGAAAAGGUAUGACAUCAACUGAGAUUGUAGAAGAAGCGAAUGAAGACAGACACUCAAGGAAAGCUGUGUACUGAUGUAUUGAUACCGUAUGCCCAGUCCUGGCCAGAGGCCAUCAGUGGACACAUUCCAUGACACCAGCUGAGCAAGGUGAAGAGACAGACUGGAGAUGAGGGUCAGUGCUUGUGAAGUAGGCUGCCAUGGGCAUUUAUGGUUAGGCUGGGACCACACUAGGAGAUUUCAGUGCCUUUGUACCUGACUAUUUCUGUUAGCAAGUGACAUGCUUGAUGGUUGUUUUUCCUAAUUUCUUACAGAAAAGAUACUUUUGAAAAACUCUAAAUUUCUCUAUGUUAAGCUUCCAGGAACAGCCUUCCUGUCCCCAUCUUGUGAGUUUUAAUUCAGGAUUCUUAACAAAAAAUAGGAACCAGAAAGGGGCAGUGACCAUCAGGAAUGGUACAAUACUCCAACCAAGGAAAGACUUUGUAUUAAGGCAGUAGACUUGGAUGCUGUCUCACAGACCUGGACUGCUACAUUAGCUCUACUGUAUGAUCCUUAGGCACUCAACCCUUCUGGGACUCAGUUUUCUUAAAAUACAAUUGACCUGAUAAUGCCUGUAUUAAUGGGCUGCUUUAACAAUUACAUGAAAUAAUAAUAUGUGAAGGAGUGGGCAGAGUAUAUGGUAUACUGCAGGUACCCAAUCAUGGUAGCAGCAGAUACUGCUAGCAGUGGAUAGAAAACUUCAGACCUUGAUCAACAAAGCCACAGUUAGAAACUCCUGCCUCAAGUGUUGCAGCUGAAGAUGUUGGCACUGUUUCCUAGGUACUACAAGGACUAUACUAAUGACCUUUUUAGAUUGGCUUACUCUGGAGGCUACACUGGACACUAGAAUUUUAGAUUCCAGAUAUGUUAUCAGUUGUAAUUCAAAUGUUCAGCCACUGUGGUGAAAUACUUAAUUUUCUGAACUUCCUUUUGCCCUGUGCUAAAUAAGAAUUGAACUAUGUCUUAGUCAAAUCAAAGUGGUAGAACCAUCGAAUGAUUCAAGCUACUGAUCUGUGAAUGAUUUCUCAUGCGUCUUUUCUGUUCCUUUGUCCCUGUCCUGACAUCCUGACAUAAGUGCUCUCUCUCUCUUUCAAUAAAUGUUUUAGAAUAAUAAAGACACAACUGGAGUCCAUGCACCUCCUUGUUCAUU